Long non-coding RNA from Ananas comosus (pineapple), 1072 nucleotides. RefSeq lists it as uncharacterized. The record is from RefSeq and is a predicted model, not a curated record. The transcript has 4 exons. Lineage: Eukaryota; Viridiplantae; Streptophyta; Magnoliopsida; Poales; Bromeliaceae.
CCAUGAAGCCCUUACUUGCUGGAUUUGGUAAAGGUUUGCUAGAGUUUGGCGGGAGCUUGACUUCGGGCCUUGGGAGGUUUUCGGACGUUUCGGCAGGUUGUUCCGCAGCCGAAGGGAGUUCCGUGCUGCCAGGAAUUAGCAAUCGAGAAACACAGGGUGAUUUAUGUUAUUGCAAGAAAGGGGGGUAUUCCUCUAUCAUCGCUGAGCCGAGCGCUUAGGGCCUGCGGCUUUGGAAGCAUCAUUUGUCAUAUCAGGAUUAAUUCGUUUUUUAAAAAAGGACAAAUACAUUAUAUCUUUUGAGAAUUCUAACUUUCUUGCCCUGUAGAAAACAAAAACAGUUCUGUCGAUAUCAUUGUGCCCAGAAAAACUCCCAGUAGUCGAUCUUCUCGCCGAGAAGACGGUAACGGUGGCGCCUCUGCCAGCAUUUAGUGGCGAUUCCAAGGAAUCGUUUGCAUUGCUCUAUCGGGAGGUCCCCGACCACGCGCUUCCCGUGAGCCCUCGUCGUCUUGUACAGCACCGCAUCCUUGAUCUCGUAUAAGCACCCGCCGCGGUCGACGCGGCAAUCUGACGCGUCCGGCCACACCACAUCGAAAAUCCGUACUUUGGACGCGUAGUUGCCCUUAUAUCCGUAGUAGCACUCUAUGAAGAAGGGCCGCUUCGUCGGUGUGAAGAUCUGCUCAUCCAGGACCCCUGGCUUCAGGUAGAAGUCCUUGAAGAAGAUUGUUUCACCGAGGAUCCGGAUGCGGCACUUGAGGGCGACCUCAUCCGCCAUCCGGCUCACAAUGAUGAUGUUGUGCAGCUCGGAGAGGGCUGAAGGAAAGACGACGAGGAGGAUCGCGAGUAGGAGAAGGCCGCGGCCGUGCCCCCGCCCGGCCAUUGUUUAACUUUUGGAUCUCUGAACUACUUCUUGGUAUAUGCUAUACAAGAAAUUGGUGUCUGAUUCUGAGCCUCUAUAUAUAUGCUGAGAAAGACAAGAAAACUGCCUGACUUAUGGCUCAUUUAUAAACAGGUAACUGAAUUCGCAAAAAUUUGCAUUUCAGUACUUAACCUUUCUGAAAAUAUAAUUUUGGUA